RNAcentral lists this transfer RNA (69 nucleotides) under Marmota monax (woodchuck). It matches the Rfam family "tRNA". Rfam says of the family: Transfer RNA (tRNA) molecules are approximately 80 nucleotides in length. Their secondary structure includes four short double-helical elements and three loops (D, anti-codon, and T loops). The record is from Rfam by way of RNAcentral. Lineage: Eukaryota; Metazoa; Chordata; Mammalia; Rodentia; Sciuridae.
GGAGUUGUGGCUCAGUGGUGGAGUGCUUGCCUUGCAUGCAUGAGGCACUGGGUUCAAUCCCCAGCACCA